This 288-nucleotide long non-coding RNA is filed under the name Capsicum annuum. RNAcentral's name for it is "long non-coding RNA (CANN_LNC001047)". The record is from RNAcentral. Lineage: Eukaryota; Viridiplantae; Streptophyta; Magnoliopsida; Solanales; Solanaceae.
AUUGUUGCCUGAGCCUUACUACCUCAUCACUGUGUUCAGAACUUUCUUCCCUGUGAUCCUGAUCCGGGUCAAUGAGCGAAUUUUCAAUCUCCCUGCUAGCCAUGGCGAGCUUUGCUUUGGAUCUAAUGAAGUAUGGGUGACUAGCCAGAGUGCUGCAAACCUACCACUGUUAUCUGAAAGAACAUGCUCAUCAAAGACGACAUCUGUUAGGAUUAGGGCACACAACAAGCAUGGGAAUCACAUUGGUAAAAUUGUCCCAAAUUCAUAUUCAUUUCUACUAGCUUUUGA